GGAAGUAAAAAGUCGUAACAAGGUCUCCGUAGGUGAACCUGCGGAGGGAUCAUUACAAGAACGCCCGGGCUUCGGCCUGGUUAUUCAUAACCCUUUGUUGUCCGACUCUGUUGCCUCCGGGGCGACCCUGCCUUCGGGCGGGGGCUCCGGGUGGACACUUCAAACUCUUGCGUAACUUUGCAGUCUGAGUAAACUUAAUUAAUAAAUUAAAACUUUUAACAACGGAUCUCUUGGUUCUGGCAUCGAUGAAGAACGCAGCGAAAUGCGAUAAGUAAUGUGAAUUGCAGAAUUCAGUGAAUCAUCGAAUCUUUGAACGCACAUUGCGCCCCCUGGUAUUCCGGGGGGCAUGCCUGUUCGAGCGUCAUUUCACCACUCAAGCCUCGCUUGGUAUUGGGCAACGCGGUCCGCCGCGUGCCUCAAAUCGUCCGGCUGGGUCUUCUGUCCCCUAAGCGUUGUGGAAACUAUUCGCUAAAGGGUGUUCGGGAGGCUACGCCGUAAAACAACCCCAUUUCUAAGGUUGACCUCGGAUCAGGUAGGGAUACCCGCUGAACUUAAGCAUAUCAAUAAGCGG
This 571-nucleotide unclassified non-coding RNA is filed under the name Cladosporium sinuosum. Its description in RNAcentral is "sequence contains 18S rRNA gene, ITS1, 5.8S rRNA gene, ITS2, 28S rRNA gene". The stretch from base 211 to 364 matches the Rfam family "5.8S ribosomal RNA". Lineage: Eukaryota; Fungi; Ascomycota; Dothideomycetes; Cladosporiales; Cladosporiaceae. The record is from RNAcentral.